This 422-nucleotide ribosomal RNA is filed under the name uncultured bacterium. RNAcentral describes it as "partial 16S ribosomal RNA". It matches the Rfam family "Bacterial small subunit ribosomal RNA", at positions 360 to 773 of the family's 1533-position model. The record is from RNAcentral.
AAUAUUGGACAAUGGGGGGAACGCUGAUCCAGCCAUGCCGUGUGUGUGAAGAAGGCCUUUGUGUUGUAAAGCACUUUAAGCGAGGAGGAGGCUACUCUAGUUAAUACAUGGGGAUAGUGGACGAUAGUCGCAGAAGAAGUACCGGCUAACGCUGUGCCAGCAGCCGCGGUAAUACAGAGGGUGCAAGCAUUAAUCGGAUUUAAUGGGGGUAAAGCACGCGUAGGUGGCCAAUUAAGUCAAAUGUGAAAUCCACGAGCUUAACUUGGGAAUUGCAUUCGAUACUGGUUGGCUAGAGUCUGGGAGAGGAUGGUAGAAUUCCAGGUGUAGCGGUGAAAUGCGUAGAGAUCUGGAGGAAUACCGAUGGCGAAGGCAGCCAUCUGGCCUAAUACUGACACUGAGGUGCGAAAGCAUGGGGAGCAAAC